UGGGUGUUGACUAUAGCGUUUCAGCUCUCC
RNAcentral lists this non-coding RNA (30 nucleotides) under Rattus norvegicus (Norway rat). The record is from RNAcentral. Lineage: Eukaryota; Metazoa; Chordata; Mammalia; Rodentia; Muridae.